RNAcentral lists this ribosomal RNA (498 nucleotides) under uncultured bacterium. RNAcentral's name for it is "partial 16S ribosomal RNA". It matches the Rfam family "Bacterial small subunit ribosomal RNA", at positions 29 to 523 of the family's 1533-position model. The record is from RNAcentral.
AUUGAACGCUGGCGGCAUGCCUUACACAUGCAAGUCGAACGGUAACGCGGGGCAACCUGGCGACGAGUGGCGAACGGGUGAGUAAUGCAUCGGAACGUGCCCAGUAGUGGGGGAUAGCCCGGCGAAAGCCGGAUUAAUACCGCAUACGACCUACGGGUGAAAGCGGGGGACCGUAAGGCCUCGCGCCAUUGGAACGGCCGAUGUCAGAUUAGGUUGUUGGUGGGGUAAAGGCCUACCAAGCCGACGAUCUGUAGCUGGUCUGAGAGGACGACCAGCCACACUGGGACUGAGACACGGCCCAGACUCCUACGGGAGGCAGCAGUGGGGAAUUUUGGACAAUGGGGGCAACCCUGAUCCAGCCAUGCCGCGUGCGGGAAGAAGGCCUUCGGGUUGUAAACCGCUUUUGUCAGGGAAGAAACGCUCUGGGCUAAUACCCUGGGGUAAUGACGGUACCUGAAGAAUAAGCACCGGCUAACUACGUGCCAGCAGCCGCAGUAA